RNAcentral lists this ribosomal RNA (586 nucleotides) under bacterium Pu.S28A. RNAcentral describes it as "bacterial SSU rRNA". It matches the Rfam family "Bacterial small subunit ribosomal RNA", at positions 802 to 1392 of the family's 1533-position model. The record is from RNAcentral.
GUAAACGAUGCUAACUCGUUUUUGGGGCUUUAAGCUUCAGAGACUAAGCGAAAGUGAUAAGUUAGCCACCUGGGGAGUACGAACGCAAGUUUGAAACUCAAAGGAAUUGACGGUGGCCCGCACAAGCGGUGGAUUAUGUGGUUUAAUUCGAUGAUACGCGAGGAACCUUACCAAGGCUUAAAUGGGAAUUGACAGGCUCAGAAAUGGGUUUUUCUUCGGACAAUUUUCNAGGUGCUGCAUGGUUGUCGUCAGCUCGUGCCGUGAGGUGUUAGGUUAAGUCCUGCAACGAGCGCAACCCCUGUUACUAGUUGCUACCAUUAAGUUGAGGACUCUAGUAAGACUGCCUACGCAAGUAGAGAGGAAGGUGGGGAUGACGUCAAAUCAUCACGGCCCUUACGCCUUGGGCCACACACGUAAUACAAUGGCCGGUACAGAGGGCAGCUACNCCAGNGAUGUGAUGCGAAUCUCGAAAGCCGGUNUCAGUUCGGAUUGGAGUNUGCAACUNGACUCUAUGAAGCNGGAAUCGCUAGUAAUCGCGCAUCAGCCAUGGCGCGGUGNAUNCGUUCCCGGGCCUUGUACACNACCG